RNAcentral lists this ribosomal RNA (468 nucleotides) under uncultured bacterium. Its description in RNAcentral is "partial 16S ribosomal RNA". It matches the Rfam family "Bacterial small subunit ribosomal RNA", at positions 28 to 507 of the family's 1533-position model. The record is from RNAcentral.
GACGAACGCUGGCGGCGUGCUUAACACAUGCAAGUCGAACGGAAAGGCCCUGCUUUUGUGGGGUGCUCGAGUGGCGAACGGGUGAGUAACACGUGAGUAACCUGCCCUUGACUUUGGGAUAACUUCAGGAAACUGGGGCUAAUACCGGAUAGGAGCUCCUGCUGCAUGGUGGGGGUUGGAAAGUUUCGGCGGUUGGGGAUGGACUCGCGGUUUAUCAGCUUGUUGGUGGGGUAGUGGCUUACCAAGGCUUUGACGGGUAGCCGGACUGAGAGGGUGACCGGCCACAUUGGGCCUGAGCUACGGCCCAGACUCCUACGGGAGGCAGCAGUGGGGAAUAUUGCACAAUGGGGGGAAGCCUGAUGCAGCAACGCCGCGUGCGGGAUGACGGCCUUCGGGUUGUAAACCGCUUUCGCCUGUGACGAAGCGUGAGUGACGGUAAUGGGUAAAGAAGCACCGGCUAACUACGUG